Long non-coding RNA from Carassius gibelio (silver crucian carp), 921 nucleotides. RefSeq lists it as uncharacterized. NCBI's taxonomy places the organism in Eukaryota, Metazoa, Chordata, Actinopteri, Cypriniformes, Cyprinidae. The transcript is spliced from 3 exons. The record is from RefSeq and is a predicted model, not a curated record.
CGUGCACAGGGGGGUGGCCCGGUGGCCAGAGCCACUGCCCCUCUGCCCUCAUCGACUGAGGUGCCCCUUCCCCAAUGCUCCGCUCAAAGCAUUCCGUUGAUUCCGCGAAUCCGCUCCAGGUUUUCCCGCUCGCUCCGCACUCCGCAGCAUCACUCACAGUGUGUGUCUGCGGCGCUUGUGAACACGACAUUUCACGAAAGCUGUCACAUUAACAGGUAGGCUAUGCAAGACAGUGGUUGAAUCUGCUAAAAAAAAUAUAUAUAUUUGUAUUUAUGUCGGUAAUGUUUUGUGCUCUUGGUCUUCUACUAGUGCUAACAACUUGUACAAUAUAUCCACAUUCUAAGAAGCUGCUUGUCUAAUCAAAUUAUAAUUGUACUCUCGAUCAGAUCAGAUCUAAUACAAAUAACUACAUUUUCCGUUGUUGGCACACUUUGUAGACAAGACAACCAUAAAAAAAAAAAAAACAAUGCCUUCACAAAAAAGAAGACAGAGACAGAGAGAGAAAGAGAGAAGGGAGGCUGCUAAAGGCAGUUCAACGUUGCAAACAUGGAUUCAAAGCUCCAGCAAGCCAGCAGAUGAGGCAGAGGCAGGCUCAGAGAGUGAGGGAGAGCCCAUUCAGCAUCAGCCAAAUCAGACACUUACAGAUGAAAAUGCUUCGGAAUCAAUUCAACGGAGUAAAAGUGAAGGUCUUUGAACUGAGCCAGAGACAGAAAAAGUUCAGAAUGAGAAAGAAAGGCAAUACAAUGAGACAGAGAGGGAAGAGACAGAUGCAGAACAGGAAGAUAUUUUGAGCGUGUACUGUCUUCUUUUUUAAUUGUACAUUUUGUAAUAAUUGGAAAAUUUGUGUUAACAAGCAACCACCCCCUCAGUGCCCCUUUUUUUGGUUUAGGCCACUGCCCCUCAAAAUGUCUGUGCACGGCC